AAGAAUGUGUGUUGGGCUUGUAAGU
RNAcentral lists this non-coding RNA (25 nucleotides) under Mus musculus (house mouse). Lineage: Eukaryota; Metazoa; Chordata; Mammalia; Rodentia; Muridae. The record is from RNAcentral.